Molecule: ribosomal RNA, 253 nt
Filed under: uncultured bacterium
Lineage: Bacteria
Description: partial 16S ribosomal RNA
Rfam family: Bacterial small subunit ribosomal RNA
Source: RNAcentral
UACGGAGGGUGCAAGCGUUAUCCGGAUUUACUGGGUUUAAAGGGUGCGUAGGUGGGUCUGUAAGUCAGUGGUGAAAUCUCCGAGCUUAACUCGGAAACUGCCAUUGAUACUAUAGGUCUUGAAUUAUCUGGAGGUAAGCGGAAUAUGUCAUGUAGCGGUGAAAUGCUUAGAUAUGACAUAGAACACCAAUUGCGAAGGCAGCUUACUACGGAUCGACUGACACUGAGGCACGAAAGCGUGGGGAUCAAACAGG